Long non-coding RNA from Brassica napus (rape), 1285 nucleotides. RefSeq lists it as uncharacterized. NCBI's taxonomy places the organism in Eukaryota, Viridiplantae, Streptophyta, Magnoliopsida, Brassicales, Brassicaceae. The record is from RefSeq and is a predicted model, not a curated record. The transcript is spliced from 2 exons.
UCUUUUUUUUUUUUCUGAAAACCAAAAAUAAACAGACGAAUAAAAAAGAAAGGGGCGUUCCGAGAAUUGAACUCGGGACCUCUCGCACCCUAAGCGAGAAUCAUACCACUAGACCAAACGCCCUUUUUGUUCAGAAACUCAAGAACUCCUUGAUAACAAUUGUUGACUCUCUUCUUCUUUAGACCAUUGAUUGUUGUUCCCUUUCUAACUAGAACCAGAUUUCGUCAGACUCUGUUAAUGAGAUUAAUCCAGUUUUGGAUUCCCAACUGUAAUCGUGUUGUAGAUCGUCCGGGUUCGGUAGGAUAUAUAGAAGAUACUGACGAUGGAUUUGACGUAGUUGGAGCUGCACUUGGAUUCUGCGUUGGCACUCGUCGUUCCAAACCUCCCACUCCUCUGCUGUAGCUGUUGAUGGAGAUAUUAGCAACAACUUGGUUUCAAAGGAUCUUCACGAGAUCGAGAAACUCGCUGAUUGCCCCAUAUUCAAGGACAGUUAUGGCUUAUUCUUGGCGAGUUGAAAGUUAAAUACUUUGAUGGCGAAUAUAUGAGUUUAAGAGUUGCAAGUUGCUAUUAUUACCCUUGCUGCUUGUCCUUCACCCUGAUUUGAAUUUUGUAGUUCAUAAGAAUCCAAUAUAUGAAAAUGUAAGCUCAAAAAACUGAUUCAGUUAGUUGAGGGUCUCUAGUUUUGUGUGGUAUCCAAAUCCAUCUGCAACUUUCUAUGGGGACAAUAGAGGUUUUGCUAGCAGAAUUUUUUUUCUUUUAUGGAAUUUCAUCUUAGUGAACUUUCAAAGACUGAUGAAAGGUGUUGUCACUUCCACAGGACCAGUCCAAGCUGUUGAUGAAGUUACAGGUGGACUCUAAAGCUUCUGUAGCAGCUUCAAGUUUCUAUGUGACAUCUCUUCAACCCGUUCUCUCAGGUGGACCAAGCAGACAUGAACUCCAUUCUUGAUGAUGAUGAAAACUGUGAGAAGUUUGAAAAGUGUUAUGUUCACUCAACUUGAAAAAUCCCAUUUUUUAGCAUUUCCCCCCAACUUUUCAUAGACCUUUAGAAUUUGUCUCUCCGGGAUCAGAUUGAUUAACCAAUUGUGAUAUCAAUGCUUUGUUGUAUUAGAGGUAGCCAAAGUUGGAGCAUUUUGGCGCAUUGAGAAAAUUGGCCUGAUCUAUCUAAUACCAUUCCAGGAGCUAGUGUUUUGCUUUAUUUGAAAACUAAACCAAUUGUAACAUCUUGUUUUACUGGAAGAUAAACAGUGUUAAUUCUGUAUUUUCUUACAAAACUUGCUUUAAGUUA